UGGGACCAGGAGGAGUUGAACCUCC
RNAcentral lists this transfer RNA (25 nucleotides) under Borrelia persica. Its description in RNAcentral is "partial tRNA-Ile". Lineage: Bacteria; Pseudomonadati; Spirochaetota; Spirochaetia; Spirochaetales; Borreliaceae. The record is from RNAcentral.